UACAGAGGGGGCAAGCGUUGUUCGGAAUUACUGGGCGUAAAGGGCGCGUAGGCGGCCUGUUAAGUCGAACGUGAAAUCCCCGGGCUCAACCCGGGAACUGCGUCCGAUACUGGCAGGCUUGAAUCCGGGAGAGGGAUGCGGAAUUCCAGGUGUAGCGGUGAAAUGCGUAGAUAUCUGGAGGAACACCUGCGGCGAAGGCGGGUUGCUGGGCUGACACUGACGCUGAAGUGCGAAAGCUAGGGGAGCGAACGGG
RNAcentral lists this ribosomal RNA (253 nucleotides) under uncultured bacterium. Its description in RNAcentral is "partial 16S ribosomal RNA". It matches the Rfam family "Bacterial small subunit ribosomal RNA", at positions 524 to 776 of the family's 1533-position model. The record is from RNAcentral.